This 74-nucleotide transfer RNA is filed under the name Candidatus Magasanikiibacteriota bacterium. RNAcentral describes it as "Candidatus Magasanikbacteria bacterium tRNA-Trp". It matches the Rfam family "tRNA". From Rfam's summary of the family: Transfer RNA (tRNA) molecules are approximately 80 nucleotides in length. Lineage: Bacteria; Candidatus Magasanikiibacteriota. The record is from RNAcentral.
GGGGGUGUAGUGAAGUGGUAUCAUGCUUCUCUCCAAAAGAAGCGUCGUAGGUUCGAUUCCUACCGCCGCUGCCA